RNAcentral lists this long non-coding RNA (852 nucleotides) under Ictidomys tridecemlineatus (thirteen-lined ground squirrel). RNAcentral describes it as "lncRNA (ENSSTOG00000031017.1)". Lineage: Eukaryota; Metazoa; Chordata; Mammalia; Rodentia; Sciuridae. The record is from RNAcentral.
CUUUGAGAAGAAGAAAAGAGAGAGAAAAAUCUUUGGAAUCAUGGCAUCUAUAUGCUAGUUUUCCUGCUGUUAGUAGGAGGCCUGAGGCUGCCCAGCUUGACUGAAAUCAAGAGAAAGGAGUGUUGUUCCUGUCAGCCUACCUCAGAGUCCUCGGCCAUUUAAGGAGCAUCAUCGAUCUCAUCAGCCACACUGAGAUAUAAUUGACCAUCGAGAAAGAAAAAAAUCACUGGAAGGCACUUAUUCCCAUCAGAAUGUGACACGGGCAAUGUGUGACCUCCGAGCCAGCCCAUUUUUGCAGAUUCCGCUCUCCCUACCCCUCUCUUGACUUCUGUUUCCUUCUUUGGAAGUGGGCAUGUUCCUAGUGGCCUCUGUCAUCAGGUUAUUGGAAAGAAUCACUAGUUAAUGUUGGGGAAAAGCGUUGGGGAAGAUGACUUACUUGUGCCCUUAAGGAUCAUUCUUCAGAACAAUACGCAGUAUUUUUGUUGAAUGGGCACACUCGGUGCUUGCCCUGAUCUGGGGACUUAGAAACGACCUGAUGCUGGCCAGUUAACACCAGCAGUUAAAGAAACUGCCAUUGUUCUCUCCAAGGAUUGUCUGCAUGGAAAUCUAGCCCUGGCAAUUUGUAAUGAGGCAGGAUGCUUAUUAAUGAUUUUUGGCUUAAUGUAUUAAUGAAUAGAGAUUUAAGGGAUAAAAAGACUUACAAUGUAAUAAGGGAAACUCCAAGAAAGAUUAGGCUCUAAUCAAAAUAAAUUGUGUUCUCAGAUUGAUUUCCAUAAAAUUCAACUCCCUUUUCCCUUUAUUUAUAACCUCAAAGAAAUGUAUUGUGCUAAGCUGAAUUGUAUCACUCAGAAA